Molecule: ribosomal RNA, 253 nt
Filed under: uncultured bacterium
Lineage: Bacteria
Description: partial 16S ribosomal RNA
Rfam family: Bacterial small subunit ribosomal RNA
Source: RNAcentral
GACGUAGGGGGCCAGCGUUGUUCGGAAUUACUGGGUGUAAAGGGUUCGUAGGCGGUGUGGCAAGUCGGGAGUGAAAUCUCUGGGCUCAACUCAGAGACUGCUUCCGAAACUGCUGUGCUGGAGUGUGGGAGAGGCGCGUGGAAUUGCAGGUGUAGCGGUGAAAUGCGCAGAUAUCAGGAGGAACACCGGUGGCGAAGGCGGGUCUCUGGGCCGAUACUGACGCUGAGGAGCGAAAGCGUGGGGAGCGAACAGG